Molecule: long non-coding RNA, 136 nt
Organism: Sander lucioperca (pikeperch)
Lineage: Eukaryota; Metazoa; Chordata; Actinopteri; Perciformes; Percidae
Exons: 2
Source: RefSeq, a predicted model, not a curated record
AAGUAAUUAGUAAAGUUUAUUUCUAGAGCACAUUUAAACACAGUUUAAGCUGACCAAAAUGCUGUACAAAAAGCACUAAGGUGCUGUAUUAACCCUUACAGGGUUUAGAGAGCAAUUCUCAACAAAGUAAACGGAA